Molecule: ribosomal RNA, 485 nt
Filed under: uncultured bacterium
Lineage: Bacteria
Description: bacterial SSU rRNA
Rfam family: Bacterial small subunit ribosomal RNA
Source: RNAcentral
GACGAACGCUGGCGGCACGCUUAACACAUGCAAGUCGAACGAAAAUGUUUCACCGUAGCUUGCUACACCGAGACAUUUUAGUGGCGGACGGGUGAGUAACACGUGAGGAACCUGCCUAUCAGAGAGGGAUACCGUUUGGAAACGAACGUUAAUACCUCAUAACGUAACGAGAUCGCAUGAUAAUGUUACCAAAGAUUUAUCGCUGAUAGAUGGCCUCGCGUCUGAUUAGAUAGUUGGUGAGGUAACGGCUCACCAAGUCGACGAUCAGUAGCCGGACUGAGAGGUUGAACGGCCACAUUGGGACUGAGACACGGCCCAGACUCCUACGGGAGGCAGCAGUGGGGAAUAUUGCACAAUGGGGGAAACCCUGAUGCAGCGACGCCGCGUGAAGGAAGAAGUAUCUCGGUAUGUAAACUUCUAUCAGCAGGGAAGAUAAUGACGGUACCUGACUAAGAAGCCCCGGCUAACUACGUGCCAGCAGCCGC